Molecule: ribosomal RNA, 502 nt
Filed under: uncultured bacterium
Lineage: Bacteria
Description: partial 16S ribosomal RNA
Rfam family: Bacterial small subunit ribosomal RNA
Source: RNAcentral
GACGAACGCUGGCGGCGUGCCUAAUACAUGCAAGUCGAACGAACCGCGACUAGGUGCUUGCACUUGGUCAAGGUGAGUGGCGAACGGGUGAGUAACACGUGGGUAACCUACCUCAUAGUGGGGGAUAACAGUCGGAAACGACUGCUAAUACCGCAUAGGACAUAGGAUCACAUGAUCCAGUGAGGAAAGGUGGCGCAAGCUAUCGCUAAGAGAUGGACCCGCGGUGCAUUAGCUAGUUGGUAGGGUAAGGGCCUACCAAGGCGAUGAUGCAUAGCCGACCUGAGAGGGUGAUCGGCCACAUUGGGACUGAGACACGGCCCAAACUCCUACGGGAGGCAGCAGUGGGGAAUCUUCCGCAAUGGACGCAAGUCUGACGGAGCAACGCCGCGUGAGUGAAGAAGGUCUUCGGAUCGUAAAGCUCUGUUGUUAGAGAAGAACAGCGCAUAGAGUAACUGUUAUGCGUGUGACGGUAUCUAACCAGAAAGCCACGGCUAACUACGUG